RNAcentral lists this long non-coding RNA (1449 nucleotides) under Homo sapiens (human). Its description in RNAcentral is "HSALNT0378317". Lineage: Eukaryota; Metazoa; Chordata; Mammalia; Primates; Hominidae. The record is from RNAcentral.
GCUUUCGUAUUUUUUUGGUGGAGACGGGGUUUCACUGUGUUGGCCGGGCCGGUCUCCAGCUCCUAACCACGAGUGAUCCGCCAGCCUCGGCCUCCGGAGGUGCCGGGAUUGCAGACGGAGUCUCGUUCACUCAGUGCUCAAUGGUGCCCAGGCUGGAGUGCAGUGGCGUGAUCUCGGCUCGCUACAACCUCCACCUCCCAGCCGCCUGCCUUGGCCUCCCAAAGUGCUGAGAUUGCAGCCUCUGCCUGGCUGCCACCCCAUCUGGGAAGUGAGGAGCGUCUCUGCCUGGCCGCCCAUCGUCUGGGAUGUGAGGAGCCCCUCUGCCUGGCUGCCCAGUCUGGAAAGUGAGGAGCGUCUCCGCCCGGCUGCCAUCCCAUCUAGGAAGUGAGGAGCGCCUCUUCCCGGCCGCCAUCACAUCUAGGAAGUGAGGAGCGUCUCUGCCCGGCAACCCAUCGUCUGAGAUGUGGGGCGCGCCUCUGCCCCGCUGCCCCAUCUGGGAUGUGAGGAGUGCCUCUGCCCGGCCGCCCUGUCUGAGAGGUCAUACAGUCAGAAGUCCAAAAUCAAGGUGUCCACUGGAUUGGUUCCUUCUGAGGGCCCUGCUGGAGAAACUGAUCCAUGCCUCUCUCCUAGCUUCUGGUGGUUGCUUGCAAUCUUUGGAGUUCCCGGCUUGUAGCUGCGUCACUCCAGUAUCUGCCUCCAUCUUCACAUGGCAUUCUCUUUUGUGCGUAUGUGUCUCCUCUGUGUCCAUCUCCAAAUCUUUACAAGGACAUUGCCAUUCAGGAUUAGGGCCCACUCUAACCUAGGAUGACCUCAUUUUAACUUGAUUACAUAUGUAAAAACCCUACUUCCAAAUACUGUUCAUAGGUACAGAUGUUAGGAUUUCAAAAUAUAUUUUCGAGAGAUGCAAUUCAAACCACAUAAGCCAAUAUAUUUAUUAUGUUUUAAAACAUGCUGUGUCAUAAUUUCUAUUAAUUGCAGCUGAAACUAUUCUAUUCCAGACUCCCUUUCUUACCCUGCCUUCCAAAUUUGGGGCACUGAUCUUUAUAUUCUCUUAGAAAACGGCGUUUGCCAUCAUAGUACUUAAUUAAUUGUGUGCUGGUUAUUUUGAUUUGUGAUUUUUUAUUAGUCUUAGCAUGCAGUUGGAGAAUUCCUUUUACCUAUCCCAAUCACAAUUCUAUCUACAACACUUAGUAGAAAACAUGACUUAUAUACUUCAUGAUAUAUAAGUAUUUUUCUGAAUAAACAAGUUAAAUAAAAUUUAAGAAAUAUUUAAAAGUAGGAAGUGCCUUUAAAUAAUACCACUACCCAUGGGAAAAUACUGUUAAUAUAUAUUGGGCAAAUCCUAGCACUUUUAUGCAAAGUUUUUUAUUCCACAAUUGUCAUAUUAAUUAUAAAAGUGUGUGUCCUUUUUUCACUUUACAUAAUAAAAGAAACUUUUUUAUAUUAUUG